GCUAAAAAACUAGCUUAACACCUAAACCUUAAAAACAAAAUUUAAAAAGUUUAACCAGACCUAGAUAACCUGACUAAAACAUUCUUCCAUCCUAGUACGAGUGACAGAAAAGAUUCAUCAAAGCAAUAAAAAAAGUACCGCAAGGGAAAGCUGAAAAAGAAAUGAAAUAACCCAUUAAAGCCCAAAAAAGCAGAGAUUAUUCCUCGUACCUUUUGCAUCAUGAUUUAGCUAGCCCCCCUUGAGCAAAGAGAGCUUUAGUUCAAAGCCCCGAAACUAAGUGAGCUACCUCGAGACAGCUUAUUUUUAGAGCCAACCCAUCUCUGUGGCAAAAGAGUGGGAAGAUCUCCAGGUAGAGGCGACAAACCUACCGAACUUAGUUAUAGCUGGUUACCUGAGAAAUGGAUAAAAGUUCAGCCUCAUACUCCUCAACUCCCAAAAAGUUUUUACUAAGAAACGAGCAUGAGAAAUAUAUGAGAGUUAGUCAAAGGGGGUACAGCCCCUUUGAAAAAGAAUACAACCUUUACAGGAGGUUAAAGAUCAUAUCAAAAAAGACUACUGCCCAGGUUGGCCUAAAAGCAGCCACCCAUAUAGAAAGCGUUAAAGCUCAAACAGAUUAUAAUCUAUUAUUUAGACACUAAAUCUUAAACCCCUACCCAUAUCAGGUCAAUUCAUGCCCACAUGAGUAUGAUUCUGCUAAUAUGAGUAAUAAGAAGAAGUUCUUCUCCAAAGCCCAAGUGUAAGCUAGCCCGGACUAACCACUAACAAUUAACGAACCUAACCAAAGAAAGUAGUGUGAUUUAAAAAAUAAACAAGAAAGACUCACAAACACUUAAUCGUUACCCCUACACUGGAAGGCAUACAAGGAAAGACUGAAAGAAUAGGAAGGAACUCGGCAAAUACAAGCCUCGCCUGUUUACCAAAAACAUCGCCUCCUGCAAAACUCAACAUAUAGGAGGUCUUACCUGCCCAGUGACUACAAGUUAAACGGCCGCGGUAUUUUGACCGUGCAAAGGUAGCGCAAUCACUUGUCUUUUAAAUGAAGACCCGUAUGAAUGGUUAAACGAGGGCCUAACUGUCUCCCUACUCUAGUCAAUGAAAUUGAUCUGCCCGUGCAGAAGCGGACAUACACAUACAAGACGAGAAGACCCUUUGGAGCUUAAGAUAAAAGACCAAUUAUGUCAAUACUCCUAAAAAACUAAACUAAAUAACUACUGGUCUCAAAUCUUCGGUUGGGGCGACCACGGGGCAAAACAAAACCCCCAUGUAGAAAAGGGAAUACCCCCAAAACCAAGAGGGACACCUCUAAGAAGCAGAAAUUCUGACUAAAUGAUCCGGCCAUGCGCCGACCAACGAACCAAGUUACCCAAGGGAUAACAGCGCAAUCCCCUUCCAGAGUCCAUAUCGACAAGGGGGUUUACGACCUCGAUGUUGGAUCAGGACAUCCUAAUGGUGCAGCCGCUAUUAAGGGUUCGUUUGUUCAACGAUUAAAGUCCUACGUGAUCUGAGUUCAGACCGGAGCAAUCCAGGUCAGUUUCUAUCUGUAACGCCAUUUUCCCCAGUACGAAAGGACCGAGAAAACGGGGCCAAUGUCUAAAACACGCCCCUCCCUAACUUAAUGAAACCAACUAAAUUAAAUAAAAGGCGGGGCAUAAUAUAAAGAUCAAAAUAAGAUCUU
RNAcentral lists this ribosomal RNA (1675 nucleotides) under Astroblepus sp. NM-2010. RNAcentral's name for it is "16S rRNA". It matches the Rfam family "Bacterial large subunit ribosomal RNA". Lineage: Eukaryota; Metazoa; Chordata; Actinopteri; Siluriformes; Astroblepidae. The record is from RNAcentral.